RNAcentral lists this ribosomal RNA (620 nucleotides) under uncultured fungus. RNAcentral describes it as "eukaryotic LSU rRNA". The stretch from base 295 to 448 matches the Rfam family "5.8S ribosomal RNA". The record is from RNAcentral. Lineage: Eukaryota; Fungi.
CGAUUGAAUGGCUCAGUGAGGCCUUCGGACUGGCCCAGGGAGGUCGGCAACGACCACCCAGGGCCGGAAAGUUGGUCAAACUCGGUCAUUUAGAGGAAGUAAAAGUCGUAACAAGGUCUCCGUAGGUGAACCUGCGGAGGGAUCAUUACUGAGUGAGGGCCUUCGGGCUCGACCUCCAACCCUUUGUGAACACAACUUGUUGCUUCGGGGGCGACCCUGCCGUUUCGACGGCGAGCGCCCCCGGAGGCCUUCAAACUGACCAUCUUUGCGUCGGAGUUUAAGUAAAUUAAACAAAACUUUCAACAACGGAUCUCUUGGUUCUGGCAUCGAUGAAGAACGCAGCGAAAUGCGAUAAGUAAUGUGAAUUGCAGAAUUCAGUGAAUCAUCGAAUCUUUGAACGCACAUUGCGCCCCUUGGUAUUCCGAGGGGCAUGCCUGUUCGAGCGUCAUUUCACCACUCAAGCCUCGCUUGGUAUUGGGCGCCGCGGUGUUCCGCGCGCCUCAAAGUCUCCGGCUGAGCUGUCCGUCUCUAAGCGUUGUGAGGCUAUUGGUCGCUUCGGAGCGCGGGCGGUCGCGGCCGUUAAAUCUUUCACAAGGUUGACCUCGGAUCAGGUAGGGAUA